This 64-nucleotide transfer RNA is filed under the name Tenerus flavicollis. RNAcentral's name for it is "tRNA-Pro". The record is from RNAcentral. Lineage: Eukaryota; Metazoa; Arthropoda; Insecta; Coleoptera; Cleridae.
CAGAAGAUAGUUUAAUAAAAAAUAUUAAUUUUGGAGAUUAAAGAUAAGAUUUUCUUUCUUCUGA